Molecule: non-coding RNA, 308 nt
Organism: Cinara cedri
Lineage: Eukaryota; Metazoa; Arthropoda; Insecta; Hemiptera; Aphididae
Source: the annotation of a GenBank genome assembly
UUCGUGUAAUAUCGGUAAUAAAUCGUAUUGUAUAUAUACUUGAAAAUUAAAAACGUGGUGCGCGCGUGUUUCGUUGCAUUUUUUAAAAAUUAUUUAUAACUCUAUAUACGUAUUAUACCCGUGCAAUUUUUAGAUUGACAUUCCGAGGAGGAGUGAUAAACGCCUGUAUGGUUUACUACGACGGGUGUGCUCUACCGUCCGCAAACCGUUGUUCGACCAGAUGACCGAUUAUCGCGAUAAACAUAUUAUAGCUUGUGGUACAGUGUUUCGGAUCUCGGAGCGACUUUUCUGAAAUUCCUCGUACGGUU